This is a long non-coding RNA of Chinchilla lanigera (long-tailed chinchilla), 1899 nucleotides long. RefSeq lists it as uncharacterized. The record is from RefSeq and is a predicted model, not a curated record. The transcript has 4 exons. NCBI's taxonomy places the organism in Eukaryota, Metazoa, Chordata, Mammalia, Rodentia, Chinchillidae.
CGUACGCUGUUUUCUGGUGAAGCACAAAUUCUCCUUUUCUAACAAGCUACCUAGAAUAUAAGCUCAGGGAUGCCAGGGACUUUUCUUGCUUUUUUCUUUGCUGAAUCCCAGUAGUAGAGCUAUGUCUGGCACAAGGUAUGUGUUUCAGAAGUAGGUUUUGAGCGACUGGCUUCCAAGAGAUUGAUUUAGGAUUGCUUUAAAGGCCGAGCUGCAUCAGGAGAGAGGAAUGCGCUAUGAGGGCAAGUAGAGUUCAGACAAGAAUGGAGAGGAACUGAUAAGGACCGGGUGCUGGGCACAGGAGGAGGAAGAGUCAGAAGGCAUCCAGCUUUCAUGUGUUUUUGGGACACCCAUCAGCUCAGAGGGAGAUAGUUUCCACAUCCUGAAGAAAUACAAAUGGCUAAUGAGUGCAUGAGAGAAGGUGCCCGAUAUCUCUGGCCAUUACAGAAAUGCAAACUAAAACAACCCGGAGAUUCUGUUUCACCCUGGGAAGAAUGACGCAAACAACAGCAAACUCUGAAAGGACUUUCUAGGUGGUGUGACUUUGAACAAAAAAAUCAACUGAGUUUUCUUACUUGGAAAAUGGAGUCAAGAAUACCUACCUCAGCCAGGCAUGGUGGUGCACAUCUGUAAUCCCAGCACUCAAAGAAGCUGAGCCCAGCCCGGGCAAUUUAGUGCCCUUUUCAGACUCUCUCAAAAUAAAAAAUAAAAUAAGGGUUGGGCAAGUAGCUCAUGGUGAAGGCCCUGUGUCCAAUCUCUAGUACCCCAGCCUACCUUACCAAGUUGUAAAAAUUAAAUAACACAGUGUAAAUACAGAAUCUUUCCCAGUGUUUGACAAUGCCUAGCAAUCAGCUUGGAACUUGCUGUGUUGCCUGCAGUACAGGUACACACAGCACACAGGGAAGUCGAGCUGAGGACAGCCAGUUCAUCACAGUGCUACCGCACACUGGCCAGCUGCUGGCCAUGCCAGUCCCCGUUCCCUGUUCUUCAGGAAUUUGCUCAGGAAAUGUUUUCCACUCCCUGUGGUGGGAGCCAUGAUGCCCCUUAAUCUGGUGUACACCAGAUUAAAGUUCCAAGCUAGUUAGCAGUGAGAUCUGGAACCUAGUACUUGAAUGGUGAGCUCUACCUCUUGGAAACUGGUGUCUGUACCACAGGCUGCCCACACCUUGCUAAACCUAAGACUAGUGUAUCAUCUUGCCAAGGCAGUGGUGUACACUGUCCUCUGUACUGGGUGGGACACUACCCACAAAGGUUCAACAGAAACACUCUAGUUAGCAAGGAAAACUAACCAUAUUUACUCCAAUAAGGUUAGAAAAAUCCCCUCAAUUAUUUUAUUUAUCCAAAGACUAAUCUAAUAGGUAGUGGAUAUUGUAGGAAUCCUUGUAUAACUUCCAACAGCCCACAUUUGACAGAAAGCCUUUAUCAGUGUGCCUUUGAUAAGCCAUGGGCUUGUGUCCUUUUUGCCAUGUUAAAAUAAGUACAAAUAUUUAUUGUUUGCCAUCCUAUUUUAUUGUUUCUAUGUAGAUGCCAGUAGGGAGAAUUGCAGAAAGAAUUUUGGGGUUUCAUGUUGAAACAGGGAAUGACCAGCAAGGUAAUUUUAUUUCAACCACAAAUCUUAACUUAUACUACAGCCGGAGUGAUAGACGGUGCUGACCUUUUUCUCAUUUUACGAACAUUGUGGCUACGGGCAUGAGGCAGCAGAUUGAACUUUUGUUGUGCUAUUAGGAUAAAUGGGGCAGGACUGUGGGUCACAUUCCUGGGCUUCAAGAGGAUCCUGCUCUGUGCAGGUACAAACAGUUGUACCCAGUCAGACCGAACAGCAGUGUGGAAGGAAAAGGAGCUACAACACAAUAUCAAUGCCGUGUGGUGAAUUAGAAGAAACAUUUACAUUUUGAAAACACU